This 245-nucleotide ribosomal RNA is filed under the name uncultured bacterium. RNAcentral describes it as "partial 16S ribosomal RNA". It matches the Rfam family "Bacterial small subunit ribosomal RNA", at positions 524 to 768 of the family's 1533-position model. The record is from RNAcentral.
UACGUAGGCAGCGAGCGUUGUUCGGAGUUACUGGGCGUAAAGGGUGUGUAGGCGGUCUUCUAAGUCUGGUGUGAAAUCUCCCGGCUCAACUGGGAGGGUGCGCCGGAAACUGGAAGGCUAGAGUGCGGGAUGGGAGAGUGGAAUUCCUGGUGUAGCGGUGAAAUGCGUAGAUAUCAGGAGGAACACCUGUGGUGUAGACGGCUCUCUGGACCGCAACUGGCGCUGAGACACGAAAGUGUGGGUAG